GGGCAGAUAGUGUAAUGGUCAACACUUCCACAUUCGACGUGGAGAUGAAGGUUCGAAUCCUUCUCUGUGCA
This 71-nucleotide transfer RNA is filed under the name Laccaria bicolor S238N-H82. RNAcentral's name for it is "tRNA-Arg (TCG) (tRNA-Arg-TCG-3-1)". It matches the Rfam family "tRNA". From Rfam's summary of the family: Transfer RNA (tRNA) molecules are approximately 80 nucleotides in length. Their secondary structure includes four short double-helical elements and three loops (D, anti-codon, and T loops). Further hydrogen bonds mediate the characteristic L-shaped molecular structure. tRNAs have two regions of fundamental functional importance: the anti-codon, which is responsible for specific mRNA codon recognition, and the 3' end, to which the tRNAs corresponding amino acid is attached (by aminoacyl-tRNA synthetases). tRNAs cope with the degeneracy of the genetic code in two manners: having more than one tRNA (with a specific anti-codon) for a particular amino acid; and 'wobble' base-pairing, i.e. permitting non-standard base-pairing at the 3rd anti-codon position. Lineage: Eukaryota; Fungi; Basidiomycota; Agaricomycetes; Agaricales; Hydnangiaceae. The record is from RNAcentral.